RNAcentral lists this long non-coding RNA (500 nucleotides) under Homo sapiens (human). Its description in RNAcentral is "non-protein coding lnc-CCSER2-5:1". The record is from RNAcentral. Lineage: Eukaryota; Metazoa; Chordata; Mammalia; Primates; Hominidae.
UUGUUGGUACAAUCCUCAGGGCUGACCUCAGCAGAGAUGUUUCCUGGCUGGGUGCGGUGGCUCACACCUGUAAUCCCAGCACUUUGGGAGGCCAAGGUGGGUGAAUCACCAGGUCAAGAGAUCGAGACCAUCCUGGCCAACAUGGUGAAACCCCAUCUUUACUAAAAAUGCAAAAAUUAUCUGGGCAUGGUGGUGCACACCUGCAGUCCCAACUACUUGGGAGGCUGAGGCAGGAAAAUACCUUGAACCUGGGAGGUAGAUGUUGCAGUGAGCCGAGAUCACACCACUGCACUCCAUGUGUCUAAUAGUGUGGUGUAUCUGAGAUCAAGUUGAUAUAUGUUCAUGAAUGUGUAUAUUAAAGAUUAUAUGUAUAAUAUAUGAAUGAGCAUAAAUGUUAAUGCUAUCCACAGAUGUGUAUAAAAUUAUUGUGUGUAUUGGUAUUUAAAACUGGUAUUGGUAUUGGUAAACACGACUGGUAUUGGUAUGUGCUUGUAUAUAUG